RNAcentral lists this ribosomal RNA (253 nucleotides) under uncultured bacterium. RNAcentral's name for it is "partial 16S ribosomal RNA". It matches the Rfam family "Bacterial small subunit ribosomal RNA", at positions 524 to 776 of the family's 1533-position model. The record is from RNAcentral.
UACGUAGGCAGCAAGCGUUGUUCGGAAUUACUGGGCGUAAAGCGUGUGUAGGCGGUGUUCUAAGUCUGUUGUGAAAUCUCCCGGCUUAACUGGGAGGGUGCGGUGGAUACUGGAAUGCUAGAGGAUGGGAGAGGUAAGCGGAAUUCCUGGUGUAGCGGUGAAAUGCGUAGAUAUCAGGAGGAACACCUGUGGUGUAGACAGCUUACUGGACCGUUUCUGACGCUGAGACACGAAAGCGUGGGUAGCAAACAGG